GGGUUUGAUCCUGGCUCAGGAUGAACGCUGGCGGCGUGCUUGAUACAGGCAAGUCGAACGGGCUAGCUAGGGGCUGAAGCCCUGGGCGGGGCGGAAGAUGAGAAAUCGUUGGAAGCUCAAGAGAGGGUAGAGGUCUUGGUGCUGGCCAGUGGCGAACGGGUGCGUAACACGUGGGUAAUCCACCCUCAAGUGGGGAAUAACCGUUCGAAAGGGCAGCUAAUUCCGCAUGUGGUCCGAAAGGAAGAAAGGGCGAGAGCUCGCUUGAGGACGAGCCUGCGGCCGAUUAGCUAGUUGGUGAGGUAACGGCCCACCAAGGCGAUGAUCGGUAGCUGGUCUGAGAGGACGAUCAGCCACACUGGAACUGGAACACGGUCCAGACUCCUACGGGAGGCAGCCGCAAGGAAUAUUGCACAAUGGGGGGAACCCUGAUGCAGCAACGCCGCGUGGGCGAUGAAGGCCUUCGGGUUGUAAAGCCCUUCUCUGAAGGAAGAGACAAGGACGGUACUUUAGGAAUAAGUCUCGGCUAACUACGUGCCAGCAGCCGCGGUAAAACGUAGGAGACGAGCGUUAUCCGGAUUUACUGGGCGUAAAGGGCAAGUAGGCGGUACUCAAAGUUGGACGUGACAUCUCUCGGCUUAACUGGGAGGGGUCGUCCAAAACUAGAGAACUAGAGGGCAGGAGAGGGGAGUGGAAUUCCUAGUGUAGCGGUGGAAUGCUUAGAUAUUAGGAAAAACACCAGUGGCGAAGGCGACUCUCUGGCCUGACCCUGACGCUGAGAGGCGAAAGCUAGGGGAGCGAACGGGCUUAGAUACCCCGGUAGUCCUAGCCGUAAACUUUGGAUACUGGGUAUUGGGGGUCAACAAGCCCUCAGUGCCGAAGCGAACGCGUUAAGUAUCCCGCCUGGGGACUACGGCCGCAAGGUUAAAACUCAAAGGAAUUGACGGGGACCCGCACAAGCAGCGGAGCGUGUGGUUUAAUUCGAUUGACACGAAGAACCUUACCUGGGUUUGACAUGUAGGUAGUAGGGAAGCGAAAGCAGACCGACCCUUCGGGGAGCCUGCACAGGUGCUGCAUGGCUGUCGUCAGCUCGUGCCGUGAGGUGUUGGGUUAAGUCCCACAACGAGCGCAACCCCUGUUGCCAGUUAGAGAUUUCUGGCGAGACUGCCGGCAUAUAACCGGAGGAAGGUGGGGAUGACGUCAAGUCAGCAUGGCCUUUAUAUCCAGGGCUACACGCACGCUACAAUGGUCGGUACAGAGGGGCGCGAAGCCGCGAGGUGGAGCAAAUCUCAGAAAGCCGAUCUCAGUUCAGAUUGCAGGCUGCAACCCGCCUGCAUGAAGUCGGAGUUGCUAGUAACCGCAGGUCAGCCAUACUGCGGUGAAUACGUUCCCGGGUCUUGUACACACCGCCCGUCACGUCAUGGAAGCUGGCAAUACCUAAAGUCGGUGAGCUAACCGAAAGGGGGCAACUGCCUAAGGUAGGGCUAGUAACUGGGACGAAGUCGAAACAAGGUA
Molecule: ribosomal RNA, 1512 nt
Filed under: metagenome
Description: bacterial SSU rRNA
Rfam family: Bacterial small subunit ribosomal RNA
Source: RNAcentral